UACAGAGGUCUCAAGCGUUGUUCGGAUUCAUUGGGGUAAAGGGUGCGUAGGCGGCGCGGUAAGUCGGGUGUGAAAUCUUGGAGCUUAACUCCGAAACUGCAUUCGAUACUGCCGUGCUUGAGGACUGGAGAGGAGACUGGAAUUUACGGUGUAGCGGUGAAAUGCGUAGAUAUCGUAAGGAAGACCAGUGGCGAAGGCGGGUCUCUGGACAGUUCCUGACGCUGAGGCACGAAGGUCAGGGGAGCAAACGGG
RNAcentral lists this ribosomal RNA (252 nucleotides) under uncultured bacterium. RNAcentral describes it as "partial 16S ribosomal RNA". It matches the Rfam family "Bacterial small subunit ribosomal RNA", at positions 524 to 776 of the family's 1533-position model. The record is from RNAcentral.